UCUGACCUGGCGAGUCUUAUGACACGAGAGGUAGAGUUUGCCUCUAAGAUUCUGAACUUCACGGAGGAGAUGCUAACCUCUGCAAACCUUUCACUGCAUUGGAGCUGGAAGUCGGGGUGGCCGCAUUCGACUCUGCUAGGUAUCCAGAAAGGGUAAAAGAGAUCUGUCUGAUCGCCACAGCUAAAUGAUUGGCUGCAGCGUCUGUGAAGCUCAUCAGCUGAGGAAACACAAUAAGAAGUUAACCAGCGAAACUGACUGAUUUAGAGGCAAACAGUGGAGUGUUGAAUAAGGCAAAAUUUUCAUUUACUAGGGAAAUGGACUGAUGUAGAGAAAGACUAAUUGGAUGAACGAUAAGGACUAAUUGUUAAGUUGACCGCAAGUUUUCAGCAACUAAAGAAGAUUCAAACCAGUAACGUUUUUUUUUACCUUGUCACACCUUCUCUUUUAAUCUCACUCAUAAGCUACGUGACUAUGUCUGAGUGUGUUAAAAUCAACAAAGGAAGGUUGAAACAAAAAAUAGAGUGUGCAUCCAGUUCUCAGAUUUGCUGCUUGGACGGGAACUACUUGCCUCCAGUAUGAGGGGGCGACGAGGUUAUGGUGGCUGGGAACUUCUUGGUUAACCGAAAAGCAAAAAAGAUGGAAAAAUACUUGUAAAACAAAACCGAUAUCUUUCCUAAGAAUUAUGGUAACUGUUUAAUUGAUGUGAGAGGGUAGCUGGGUAGGUAAGUAAAGGCGUUGCAGAAUGAGAAAUUUUGUAAAAGGAAAUCUCCUAUCAAGGAUAAUGAUCAUAGGUUUAUUUAAACUGCAACUAGUUAUUGUCGCUAAAGAAGAGGGAUAUGAAAAGAGGAUGCUGAAUAAGAUACUUACUAUCAGGGGGCCGGAGCGUAUUUGUAACAUUUCGAUUUCUAUUAUUUGGUGGUGUAUGUUGAAAAGAAUUAGAAAAUGAUUUGAUUAUGUAUAUCAUUAAAAUAAACUUAUCUUUUCGGUCAUGUGUUCAGCUAAAACGAUUGGCUGCAGAGUCUGCGAGUUCAUCAGCUAAGACAACACUAGAAGCCUAGAAGGUAUUACAAAGGGUAUCCAUAUAAUACUAUGGUUCUGUUAUAUAAAUACAUUAAUUAUUGUGUUGAGGUAAAAUGGUGAAUAAUUAAGAAGAUGUAAUUUGUGAAUGUGUGACUUCAAACUUUCAAAGUCAGGUAGCUUAGAAUUUUCUCAGACCAGUGGAAAAAUAAAUCACAUGUCUUUAUUAGUUGCCCCCAAAAACAAGAAAUUCAGGUCGUUAGGGGGUAAAAUAAUUGUUUAAAAAAAGAUUGAGAGGAAACUUGCUGGUACACAGAACAAGUAUUAAGGUGCAACAAUGACUAAAACAAAAAUCUGGAGGUUUAAGAAUCAUUUCUAUGAAUAUAUAAUCAUUUAUAUCUAAGAAUAUCUAGAUACACCAGACAUCUAAAAUAGUUUCUGUAAAUGCAAGAAUUAUACCAAGAAGUAUAACACAAAGUACAGUAGAAAUUAUCUCUACAAAAUAUGUAUAUUUAUUAGGUUUCUUUUAAAGCGAACUUACAAGUAUCUUUUUAAAUAGAAAAAUCAAGAAAAUCAAGAUCAACUUGAUUUGUUACACCAGCUUCACGCGUCCUAAAAUCGAAUACAAGACGUUAGAACUCCUAGUCUUAGAAUUGAUUUAUUACACUAGUUUCACACGUCCUAAGAUCAAAUACAAAAAUGAAGCAUCUCCUAUCUAUAAGAAAAAGAGGGAAAAUCCUACUAUCUCCUACAUGGCCUUUUGGGGUUAAAAUAUUCCAAAAUAUCUAAAACUUAAAAAUGUUUCGGAAUUGUCCAAAAUACCUGAAAAUAUCCCAAAAUAACCAAAUUAGAUUAUCCUAAAUAGCAAAAAAAAAUACUUAAAACACCAUAAGGACCUAAAAUAUCAACCGGUUCUUCAUCUAAAUAUUCCAAUCAAUCCAAUCUAUAUAUUAAUUUUAAUUUUUUGGUCAUACAUUAUUCAAAUUUAUAUAUUGUAUAUUAUUUUUUAUUUUAGAUUUUGGAGCGCCUAACUUCAAGGUAUAUUUGGAUGUUUAAAUUUCUUUACAUAAUCUAAGUGGGUAUCCGAACCCAAACCAAACCCGCAAAAAUCCAAACUGAAACCACAUCAAAAUUUAUUACUAUUUGAAUGAAUCUCUAACCCGAAAAUCUAAAGUACAAAUAUAUUUGAAUUGAACCCGAAUGGAUACCCAAAUAUUCACUCCUAACUUUCCUUUUAAAAUAAAAGGAAAUUGGGCUUGCUGAAUUUUAGGAUGUUACAAAAUCGUCUCCUCUGUUCUUUUGGCCAACAAAUUAUAAGUAAGGAAUUUGCUGUGAGUUGAUUCGGAAAUAAAUCUGUCAAAAGUGUGUUGACGACUUUCAUAAAAAUGGCAGAUUUGUACUUAUGACAGAGUUGAUUGUCUGAUUUUAAUACCACAAGCUUAAUUAUCCAAUUUUAUUUGAAACAAUUUUUUAUGGAUUUGUUUGGCGAAUGAAGUAUUCAAUUUGCCAUAAAUGAUAGUUUUUGUGUUAGACUUAUUUUUCAUGGCAGAUUUUGAAUAUCCGAUUUAAAUUUGUGAUAAACUUUUGUAUUUACGAAGUAGCAGAUUUUUAGACAAAAUUAUGGGUUUGAGUAAACCAAACUUAAAUCGACUUGGAUUAAAUCCGGUUUACUUUAAUUUUGAAUCUGGUUGAUUUAUAUAGUGUAAUUAAAACUAGAAUUAAGUUAUACAAAGUUUGUAACUGUCGUCCCCUUCAUCCCACUUUUAUUCAUUAUCAAAUUGCCUUCUUUCAUAGUAUUUUACUAUCUUUAUUUAUUAAACAAAAAUGGAUCACAUCACAUCAUUCUCGUAUGUGGAGAGUGGAAAGUUGAAAGAAUGAAGUGGUUAUAUUUGAAGUGAACAAUGAUCAAAGUAGCAAAUUAUUUGCUGCAAAUGAGGAAAUAAAUAUGAGGAUUUUGGGGAAAUCAUAUUUGAGGAAUACGGAGUUGAUUUUGCAGAACACGAGUUAGAACUGACGUACCUUUUGCCAAAAUGCACUCUCUUGAAGCAAAACCUCGAUACACCUCCUGUGAAAGUAGGCAACAGUACACAGUUUCAUGGAUUUCUUUCUUCACAAAGUCGAUAAAGGUUCAGUUCAAGGUGAAUAUCUCAACAACCAAAAAGUCUUUUUCCGUGAAUUAAAUUUUACAAGAAGUCUAACUCAUCAAGGAAUCAAUGAGGCUUAGAAUUACAAGAAAAUAUUCAUGGAGGAAGAAGUUAUGAAUUUUACAAAUCAGAAGUUCUCCAACCCGUCCAUCUGCGAGUACCAGACUUUUGAAGAAGAUUCAAGCCCAAAGAAAAAGCGGUCUGAACCAAAGCCGAUCAUAGGAUUCAAGAUGGAUAUCUCAGUUUUACAGAAAGCCCAAUAUCAGGACAAAUGGCCACAGAAUUAUGAAAUUAUGAUCCAAUCUCCAGAACUGGCUAAACCAGUUCUACACUUGCCUCAAUUGGAAGCAAUUACUUCCAAGACUUUAAGUUCGAGUUUUUUUGUUUUCCUUUUAUCAUUUUAUGACCAGUUCAAUCAGUUUCAAACCAGACAUUGGUGACCAAGAGAUCAAUUUAUACAUUCAGAAAGUUCAUCCAGUGAUCCAAAAGAGUCAGACAAGUCUGUUCCAUGCACCAGCAACCAUAGGAUUAGGAGGAUCCUCAUUAACCACAACUUUCCUUAUUGGGAUACAUUUACACUUGGAGCCAUAACUCAUCAAUGACCCAGCCAUAAAAGCUACAACGUUUUGGAGUCAUUACCAGCUUGUCUAGGAGCCCCAAGAUGUACCAGACUACACUGGAUCAGGCGGAUCCCAAUCAGACCAGAAGAGAGGCCCGGUUUGCUUACAUUGGCCAAACCGAUAUUAUUUAAGGAAUGUAUUCUACUCCUUCAGUUUGGUUCGACCCAAACUUAUCUAUGGAAGCCAGAACAUCAUCUAAACCAUCCAGAAGACAUCCAAGAAGUCCUUAGCUUCACCAGCACCUAGGAGAUCAGGCGGAUCUCUCUCUAUCAACAUUCCAUAUAUGGCAACAUUUACACUAAAUGCUUUGGAGGAGUUUCUACAGAUUUUUGCCCAAGACCAACGGCCAUAUUCUCUUUUAUUGAGACCAAGGAGUAUUUCAGGAAGGCUUGAAGAUCAUGGCCACGUCCAGAAGCUAUCAAGAUACAAGUCUUCACAAGUUUCUCUUUUGGAAGAAAGAAAUUCAAGCAUAACGGCUAUAUUCCAUGGAGCCAUCAAAGCCUUUGCUUCCGAGACUUUAAGUUCGAGUUAUUUUGUUUUCUUUUAACAUUUUAUGACUGUUAGGGUCUGUCUUUGUCGAACCUAUAAAGUUCUAGUCUUUGCUUCAAUGUAAAUCACCCAUCUUGAAAGUAUUAUGAAAUAUUCAGUUUUCUAGUUUUCUUAUAAGUAUUGUUCUAAGUCUUUAGAGUGUUGUGAGAAACAGCUCCAGAGCAACCCGACUUAUCAAAGAUUCCUUCCAUAGAUCUUUGUGGCGUCUAUCAAUCCAUUUCGUCCAUCCCACCCAAUUGCCAAGCUUGAGAGUGAUACACAUCCAGCAAGCAAAGCACCAUCUCAAUCCACUUCGAUCAUCCUACCUUUGUUUAUUUAUCUUGUUUUGUUCUUAGUAUAAACCGCAUCUCAUUGCAUUUGCAUUUGUUUCAAGUUUACAUCUCGGAUUCCAUUCAUAUCGCCCAUCCGAUCAUAUAUUUGGCCGAUCCAUCAAGCUUCCAUCAUCCAUCUUGCCAAUCCUGAUUUCCAGCAUGUAUCAUAAAGACACAAGAAAGAUAUUCUCCACAGAAUAAGUUUGACUUGGCUCCUUCAAAUUUGACGUGGGACAAAGUUUUGAUUCAAAAGAUGCAUUGGAAACACGUCUAAAGAUUUUUUCAGUUGUCCAACAUUUCUAUUUUGAUGUGAAAAAAUCUACGCAUAAACUUUUUGUAAAAUGUUGGAUAAAAGGAUGUACGUGGAAGCUUAGAGCCACAAACAUUCCUGCUAUGUAAUAGAACGUUCAUCUCGUUUUUGACAUGCUACUUCUGAAAUUCUUGGACUCUUGUACAAAGACUAUAUUGGUGGGGUUGAUCCAACUAUUUUUCCACGUCAUGUUGCUAGUGCUAUGAACAUGAGCUUCAUAAUAAAGGUUAAUUGACUACAUUUUUGCAACGGAAUUACUGUAUUUUCUGACCUUACUUCCUUUUAAAUGGGUUGGUGUCUAUCGUAUAUCGCCGAUGGAUUACUAGAAAGCUCAUCAUACACUUAUAAUUGCUAGAGAUAUCGUAAUGGGUUCUUUAGAGAGUGGAUACGAGGAAUCACCUACUUACCUAUACAUGAUUAGAAUGACAAAUCCUGGAACUUUAACUGGACUGGAAGUUGAUGCAGAAAAUAGAUUUAAGUACUUAUUCCUUGUUUGUAACACUAGCAUUAUUGGCUUGAGAAAGUUGUGGUGGUAGAUGGUGUUUUCUCGCAAGGAAAAUACAAAGAAAUGUUUCUCAUUGCAACAUCACAUGAUGUUAAUUUUCAAAUACUUCUAAUUUCAUUUGUUGUGAUUGACACAGAAAAUGAUGAAUCAUGGACAUGGUUUUUCCGCCAACUCAGCCGUGUGAUACCCAAUGAUAAAAGAUUGACAUUAAUUUCUGAUAGGCAGAAGUCAAUAGGGAAAACUAUUGCAGUGGUCUAUCCAUUAGCAAGCAUGAGAAUUUGCACGUACCACUUAUAUAAAACAUCUUGUUACGGUACACAUGGCGUGAUUUGGUUGGGUUUGUCAAACUCCCCCUCCCCCCACCUCCCCCCCCCCCCCCCCCAAAUCUUUUAGGUUUACUAACUUUCAAGUAACCUUCAAAACGACAAAAGAGUUAAAUCCAGCUUUUCAUGCAUAUUUGGAUCGUGUUGAUGGUAUAUAAGUGGGCACAAACUUAUUUUAGAGGUGACAGAUAUAACAUCACUACAAGUGACAUAACUGAAUCGAUUUAACUUUGCCAUAUGCGAGAAGAUUGCCAAUUAUUCGCCUUUCAGAUCAAUCCGAUUAAUGAUGAUAUUCUGGUUGCGUCAAGAAAACAUGAUGAUGACUUGAUGAAAGCCUCUCUAACUCGUGGUGUAGAAAAGUUGUCGGAGGUAAUAUAUUUAAAAUCAGGUUAUGUAUUUCAGUGGGUUACUUUCUAAUCUAUUAAACUCUUACAUUUGCAUGACAGUAUACAUCGACAUUCAUCAAUCAUAAGUGAUAGAAAUCGCAUCUUUAUAUGUUGUAAAUUUUAUAGAAAAAAUCAUGUUCUUCACGUAAGUUUGACUUAGAGAAGCUACCAUGUGCUCAUGCUAUUAUCACUUUGCCAUUAUUAUUAUCGGAAACAAUGCCUUUACAAUGCAUAUUUCACUGAUUUAAUGUCCAAAGAUGAUACUGUUCUAAUACAAGAAUAAGUGAGAAAGAAAAUAUGUUUACCAACUGACAUCUGUAAACCACUGAAUAAACAAAAAAAAAAGAAAUCAAAA
Long non-coding RNA from Brassica rapa (field mustard), 6520 nucleotides. RefSeq lists it as uncharacterized. The record is from RefSeq and is a predicted model, not a curated record. NCBI's taxonomy places the organism in Eukaryota, Viridiplantae, Streptophyta, Magnoliopsida, Brassicales, Brassicaceae.